AGAGUUUGAUCCUGGCUCAGGAUGAACGCUAGCGGCAGGCUUAAUACAUGCAAGUCGAGGGGCAGCAGGGUGUAGCAAUACAUCGCUGGCGACCGGCAAACGGGUGCGGAACACGUACGCAACCUUCCUUUAAGUGGGGAAUAGCCCAGGGAAACUUGGAUUAAUACCUCGUAACAUUAUGAAGUGGCAUCAUUUUAUAAUUAAAGCUCAGGCGCUUAAAGAUGGGCCCGCGCCUGAUUAGCUAGUUGGCAGGGUAACGGCUCACCAAGGCGUCGACGGGUAGCUGGUCUGAGAGGACGACCAGCCACACUGGGACUGAGACACGGCCCAGACUCCUACGGGAGGCAGCAGUGGGGAAUCUUGCGCAAUGGGCGAAAGCCUGACGCAGCAACGCCGCGUGGGGGAUGAAUGCUUUCGGGUUGUAAACCCCUUUCAGCGGGAACGAAAUUGACGGUACCCGCAGAAGAAGCUCCGGCCAACUACGUGCCAGCAGCCGCGGUAAUACGUAGAGAGCAAGCGUUGUCCGGAUUUACUGGGCGUAAAGAGCUCGUAGGCGGUUUGCCAAGUCGAAAGUCAAAACUACAGGCUCAACUUGUAGUCGCUUUCGAUACUGGUAUGACUUGAAUCUGGUAGGGGAUCACGGAAUUCCUGGUGUAGCGGUGAAAUGCGUAGA
RNAcentral lists this ribosomal RNA (673 nucleotides) under uncultured bacterium. RNAcentral's name for it is "bacterial SSU rRNA". It matches the Rfam family "Bacterial small subunit ribosomal RNA", at positions 8 to 694 of the family's 1533-position model. The record is from RNAcentral.